Molecule: ribosomal RNA, 253 nt
Filed under: uncultured bacterium
Lineage: Bacteria
Description: partial 16S ribosomal RNA
Rfam family: Bacterial small subunit ribosomal RNA
Source: RNAcentral
GACAGAGGGGGCAAGCGUUGCUCGGAAUCACUGGGCGUAAAGGGCGCGUAGGCGGGAUGGCAAGUCAGUUGUGAAAUCUCUCGGCUCAACCGAGAAACGUCGGCUGAUACUGCCGUUCUUGAGGGAUGCAGAGGAGACUGGAAUUCCCGGUGUAACGGUGAAAUGUGUAGAGAUCGGGAGGAACACCGGCGGCGAAGGCGGGUCUCUGGGCAUUUCCUGACGCUGAGGCGCGAAAGCGUGGGGAGCAAACGGG